AAAUCCUCGUGCAAGGAUUGUCCUCGUGCAAGGCCUGAUACUCGUGCAAGGCCCAAAUCCUCGUGCAAGGCCCAAAUCCUCGUUCAAGGCCCGAUACUCGUGCAAGGCCCAAAUCCUCGUGCAAGGCCCAAAUCCUCGUGCAAGGCCCAAAUCCUCGUGCAAGGUUCGAUGCUCGUGCAAGGAUUGUCCUCAUGCAAGGCCCGAUCCUCGUUCAAGGCCCGAUCCUCGUUCAAGGCCCGAUCCUCGUGCAAGGCCUGAUACUCGUGCAAGGCCCAAAUCCUUGUGAAAGGCCCAAUCCUCGUGCAAGGCCCAAAUCCUCGUGCAAGGCCCAAAUCCU
Molecule: long non-coding RNA, 337 nt
Organism: Cyanistes caeruleus (blue tit)
Lineage: Eukaryota; Metazoa; Chordata; Aves; Passeriformes; Paridae
Source: Ensembl